GCGCAUUGGUGAAGCGGCCAAACACAUCGCCCUUUUACGGCGACAACCGCGGGUUCGAUUCCCGCCAUCUACU
Molecule: transfer RNA, 73 nt
Filed under: Bacillus thuringiensis serovar aizawai
Lineage: Bacteria; Bacillati; Bacillota; Bacilli; Caryophanales; Bacillaceae
Description: tRNA-Lys
Rfam family: tRNA (bases 7-65)
About the family: Transfer RNA (tRNA) molecules are approximately 80 nucleotides in length. Their secondary structure includes four short double-helical elements and three loops (D, anti-codon, and T loops). Further hydrogen bonds mediate the characteristic L-shaped molecular structure. tRNAs have two regions of fundamental functional importance: the anti-codon, which is responsible for specific mRNA codon recognition, and the 3' end, to which the tRNAs corresponding amino acid is attached (by aminoacyl-tRNA synthetases). tRNAs cope with the degeneracy of the genetic code in two manners: having more than one tRNA (with a specific anti-codon) for a particular amino acid; and 'wobble' base-pairing, i.e. permitting non-standard base-pairing at the 3rd anti-codon position.
Source: RNAcentral